RNAcentral lists this ribosomal RNA (694 nucleotides) under uncultured bacterium. RNAcentral describes it as "bacterial SSU rRNA". It matches the Rfam family "Bacterial small subunit ribosomal RNA", at positions 126 to 807 of the family's 1533-position model. The record is from RNAcentral.
CUGCCCGCGCACCGGGAAUACGCUCUGGAAACGGAGAACAAAUCCCGAUGUACAGGAAGGAGGCAUCUCUUUCUGUGAAACAUCCUUUAGGGGAUGGGGCGCGGAUGGACCUGCGGUGCAUUAGUUGGUUGGCGGGGUAAAGGCCCACCAAGACGAUGAUGCAUAGCCGGCCUGAGAGGGCGGACGGCCACAUUGGGACUGAGACACGGCCCAGACUCCUGCGGGAGGCAGCAGUAGGGAAUUUUCGUCAAUGGGCGCAAGCCUGAACGAGCGAUGCCGCGUGAGUGAAGAAGGCCUUCGGGUCGUAAAGCUCUGUUGCGGGGGAAAAAAGGCAGCAUCAGGAAAUGGGUGCUGACUGAUGGUGCCCCGCCAGAAAGUCACGGCUAACUACGUGCCAGCAGCCGCGGUAAUACGUAGGUGGCGAGCGUUAUCCGGAAUGAUUGGGCGUAAAGGGUGCGCAGGCGGUCCUGCAAGUCUGGAGUGAAACGCAUGAGCUCAACUCAUGCAUGGCUUUGGAAACUGGAGGACUGGAGAGCAGGAGAGGGCGGUGGAACUCCAUGUGUAGCGGUAAAAUGCGUAGAUAUAUGGAAGAACACCAGUGGCGAAGGCGGCCGCCUGGCCUGUUGCUGACGCUGAGGCACGAAAGCGUGGGGAGCAAAUAGGAUUAGAUACCCUAGUAGUCCACGCCGUCCAC